CUCUCUUGACAUCCGUUAGAUCUAAAAAAAUAGCUUACCUUGCAGACUGUUCAAAUGCCAAUGAUUUCCUUCUCCCCCCUUUCUCGUCCAGUUAAUUGACCCCGCAACUUCUGGUCUGGAAGCCAGGAAAUGUCGUUUAAGAGCCUCGUCCGUGAGCUGAGGGAUGGGAUUGGGAGCAUGUCAAGAAGAGGAGGAGGAGCGAUGGAAGGGAUGAUGACCGCGCACAGCCGAGGAUGUGCCCCGCAUCCGCAAGAGCUGGAAGAGCAGCAGCAGCAGGGGAGGUGGGCGAACCUGCCGCCGGAGCUGCUGCUGGAUGUGAUCCAGAGAGUGGAGGCGAGUGAGGUGGCGUGGCCGGAGAGGAGGCAUGUGCUAGCGUGCGCGGCGGUGUGCCGCUCGUGGCGGAACAUCACGAAGGAGGUGGUCAGGUCCCCCGAGCAAUGCGGCCAGAUCACCUUCCCUUUCCCCCUCAAGCAGCCCGGGCCACGAGAUCACCCGAUUCAGUGCUUUAUAAGGAGGGAGAGAGCGACGUCGACCUUCUGCUUGUACCUGGGUCUGACCCCCUCACUGCAGGGGCAGAGUGACAAGCUUUUGUUGGCAGCCCACAAGAUCAGACGUGCAACGAGCACCAACUUUGUGAUCUCAUUGAAUCCUGAUGAUUUCUCUCGAGCUAGCAGUACCUAUAUUGGAAAAGCGAGGUCAAACUUUCUGGCAACAAAGUUCACUGUUUAUGACAGCGAGCCUCCUUUUGAUGCUGCAGUUUCUUCAAGCAAUCGUUCAAAUCGAAGGAUUCAUUCUAGGCAAGUGUCCUCGAGAGUACCGGCUGGCAAUUACAACAUUGCUACCAUCUCCUAUGAGCUGAACAUCUUGCGAACCCGAGGGCCACGAAGAAUGCAGUGCAUGAUGCACUCGAUCCCCAUCUCCUCCAUCCAAGAAGGUGGGAGUGUCCCUGCACCCAGCAGUUUCAUUCACUCCGUCGAUCAACGGCUCUCCAGUUUACCAGUUGUGAAGGGCAAGGAGCCGGUGAUAGGUUUUUCUUCCACCAGUCUCAAUGAAUCAAAUGCACCUGUCCAGAUCAAUGGAGAAUCUCUCAUUCUAAAGAAUAAAGCCCCUCGGUGGCAUGAGCAGCUUCAGUGCUGGUGCUUGAACUUUAGAGGACGAGUAACAGUGGCUUCUGUCAAGAACUUUCAGCUUGUGGCAGCUGCAGAUCCUUCCUGUCAUGUUUCUCCAGCAGAGCAAGAAAAAGUUAUUCUUCAGUUUGGUAAAAUAGGAAAGGAUAUUUUCACUAUGGAUUAUCAAUAUCCACUCUCUGCAUUUCAGGCAUUUGCAAUUUGCUUGACGAGUUUUGACACUAAGCCAGCAUGUGAAUGAACCAGUGAAGUGACUUCGGUGGCAGACUUCUGUCAAGUUCGAGAUCUUGGAGGAGGGAGUGCUUGUCUUUACUAAAUGUUACUCAUCUCACAAAAUGCUUUAUCCGAUGGACAUGGAUGGAUGCAAGGCAUGGUCUCUACCUGCAUGUUGUGAGUACCAAGUAUGUAGCUUAUGGGUCCAAUUGAUCGGAACCUCAAACUCUUGAAACAUGUGGAAUAUCGGACAUCAGCUUUGCAUGUGCUUUUCCUCUUAAACCAUUCAUAUGUUCCUGCUUAUCAACUGUCGCUUGUCCCGGGUUGGACAUGGCUCUGCCUGGAAUCAGGGUUUGAUUACGAUAUAUUCAGUAUUAUAUUAUUGCGAACUCCUCGUUUGAGUUAUAUGAAGGUUUUGUUUGUUGGUGCGCUUCUGGAUCUUCUUUGGCAUGGGUCAUCUUCACUUUGGCUCCAGCUUUUGCUUCUGAUUCUUGGCUGUAAGGAUUCAUCAAGCCUGUUAUG
Musa acuminata AAA Group (dessert banana) is the source of this 1862-nucleotide RNA transcript. It is a transcript of the gene named tubby-like F-box protein 5, with no coding region annotated. Lineage: Eukaryota; Viridiplantae; Streptophyta; Magnoliopsida; Zingiberales; Musaceae. The record is from RefSeq and is a predicted model, not a curated record. The transcript has 6 exons.